RNAcentral lists this ribosomal RNA (253 nucleotides) under uncultured bacterium. Its description in RNAcentral is "partial 16S ribosomal RNA". It matches the Rfam family "Bacterial small subunit ribosomal RNA", at positions 524 to 776 of the family's 1533-position model. The record is from RNAcentral.
UACAGAGGGUGCGAGCGUUGUCCGGAAUCACUGGGCGUAAAGGGCGCGUAGGCGGCUUCUCAAGCGUGCGGUGAAAGCUCGGGGCUUAACUCCGAGUCUGCCGUGCGAACUGGGAGGCUUGAGUCUGGUAGAGGUCGAUGGAAUUCCGGGUGUAGCGGUGGAAUGCGUAGAUAUCGGAAGGAACAUCAGUGGCGAAAGCGGCUUCCUGGACCAGUACCGACGUUCAGGCACGAAAGCGUGGGGAGCAAACAGG